AAUUAUUUAGCUUAAAGCAAAUGGUUUGAACCCAUUUUAUAGAAGUAAAAUCUUCUAAUAAUUU
This 64-nucleotide transfer RNA is filed under the name Eurytoma sp. TJS-2016. Its description in RNAcentral is "tRNA-Ser". It matches the Rfam family "tRNA". From Rfam's summary of the family: Transfer RNA (tRNA) molecules are approximately 80 nucleotides in length. Lineage: Eukaryota; Metazoa; Arthropoda; Insecta; Hymenoptera; Eurytomidae. The record is from RNAcentral.